AUUGAACGCUGGCGGCAGGCCUAACACAUGCAAGUCGAGCGAGCGGCGGACGGGUGAGUAAUGUCUGGGAAACUGCCUGAUGGAGGGGGAUAACUACUGGAAACGGUAGCUAAUACCGCAUACCAUCAGAUGUGCCCAGAUGGGAUUAGCUCUUUGGUGGGGUAACGGCUCACCUAGGCGACGAUCCCUAGCUGGUCUGAGAGGAUGACCAGCCAACCUGGAACUGAGCCACGGUCCAGCCUCCUACGGGAGGUAGCAGUGGGGAGUAUUGCACAAUGGGCGAAAGCAUGUUGCAGCAAUGCCGCGUGUGUGAAGAAGGCCUUCGGGUUGUAAAGCACUUUCAGCGGGGAGGCGUUACCCGCAGAAGAAGCACCGGCUAACUCCGUGCCAGCCGCCGCGGUAAUAC
This 406-nucleotide ribosomal RNA is filed under the name uncultured bacterium. RNAcentral's name for it is "partial 16S ribosomal RNA". It matches the Rfam family "Bacterial small subunit ribosomal RNA", at positions 30 to 526 of the family's 1533-position model. The record is from RNAcentral.